AAGUCCGGUAUGCACUCGAAGAAUACGGCUGUUUCGUGGCGUUUUAUGAUAAAGUUUCUGCAGAACUUCUAGACAAAAUCUUUGGUCAGACCAAAGAUCUGUUUGAGGUUCCAAUUGAAAGCAAAAUAAAGAACACAAGUGAGGAACCAUAUCGUGGGUAUAUUGGGUCAAACCCUCUCAUGCCUCUCUAUGAAGGCUUGGCCAUCGACAAUGUCACGUCCCCACAAGAAACUCAUAAAUUCAGACAACUUAUGUGGCCCGAUGGCAAGAACAACUUCUGGUAAUUCCCCUUUUUAUACUAUUAAAUGUUAAAGGGUAAUAUUCUCUUGUCAUACUUAUAUUCUAUAGGGCUAACGACGAAACACACCCUUGAUGUUCGGGGUCAUUUUCAAUAUGGCUCCCGGCUUUCAAUUUCAUCAAUUUACACCCUAUGAUUUUCACAUAUGACCAAUUUAAACCUUCCAUGCCGAAUUCUUACUCGAAAUUGGUUUAAAUUUACAAUCCAACAUAUGCAUUUGUUUGACAACUUAAAUCUCGAAAUAUCGUUACUCAUUUAACAAAAUCCUUAAAUUUUUUAUAACACGUACUUAAUUUCUAUUUUCUUGUUUUGGACAGUGAGAUCAUAGAUUCAUAUGCCGAGUUAUUAGCAGGCUUGGAGCACACAGUGGAACAAAUGCUGUUUGAAAGCUUUGAGGCAGCAAAGCAGUACGAGUCUUGCUAGCUACAACAGUCAACUUCUUAGGUUCCUCAAAUAUAACACACUAAAGGAAACUGAUGCCACCUUAAGGUUUGCGAGCCAUACAGACAAGAACUUUGCCACCAUUGUUGUUCAGCACGAUGUUGGUGGGUUGGAGGUCCAAACAAAGGGAAGGUGAUUGGAUUAGCAUUGAGUCGGCACCUUCACAGUUCUUGUUCAUGGCCGGUGAUGGAUUGCAGGUGGGUACCAUACAUAUACGUAUUCGUGCUUGUUGAUAAAUAUACAAGGACAAUUUUCUAAACCUUAAACUAAAUUUUGCUCAUCAUACCACGAUAUAAUAUUUUCUUUUUGGAGUUGGUUUAAUUAGGUAUGGAGUAAUGACAGAAUAAAAGCUUGCCACCAUCGAGUGAAGGAUUGUGGGGACAAGAUAAGAUACUCACUUGGGAUGUUUACAUUCAACAAUCGGGUGUUGCAAGUACCGCAAGAACAAGUGGAUGA
Molecule: long non-coding RNA, 1195 nt
Filed under: Prunus dulcis (almond)
Lineage: Eukaryota; Viridiplantae; Streptophyta; Magnoliopsida; Rosales; Rosaceae
Description: sRNA ncRNA
Source: RNAcentral